AUCCAGCUGACGUGUCCCAAAUAGGAAUAAACGAGCGUCCUGGAU
This is a non-coding RNA of Schistosoma mattheei, 45 nucleotides long. Lineage: Eukaryota; Metazoa; Platyhelminthes; Trematoda; Strigeidida; Schistosomatidae. The record is from Rfam.